RNAcentral lists this ribosomal RNA (764 nucleotides) under uncultured organism. RNAcentral describes it as "bacterial SSU rRNA". It matches the Rfam family "Bacterial small subunit ribosomal RNA", at positions 693 to 1468 of the family's 1533-position model. The record is from RNAcentral.
GAUAUGGGGAGGAGCGGUAUUUGCGACGGUGGCUCCCUGGCGCUUUCGUGACUCUGAGAGGGGAAAGCUACGGGAGCGAAUAUGCUCAGAGACCCUGGUAGUCCUAGCCCUAAACGCUGGAUGCUAGAUGUAGAGCUGCUGAGACUCUGUCCCGGAUCGAGAACAAUAAGCUUCCGGGCUGGUACCUACGGCCGCAAGGCUAUAUACACACAACGAAUUGACGGGGACCCGCACAAGCAGCGGAGCGUGUUGGUUUAAUUCGAUGCUACACGAAGUUCCUUACCUGGGUUUGACAUGCUGGUAGUACCGGACCGAUAGGGGAGGGGUCCUUCGGGGAGCCAACACAGGUGCUGCAUGGCUGUCGUCAGCUCGUGCCGUGAGGUGUCGGGUUAAGUCCCGUAACGAGCGCAACCCUUGCUCUUAGUUAUACGUGUCUAAGGGGACUGCCGGCGACAAGCGAGAGGAAGGUGGGGAUGACGUCAAGUCAGCAUGGCCUUGAUAUCCAGGGCUACACACACGCUACAAUGGCCGGUACAAAGGGCAGCCAAGCCGCGAGGUGGAGCGAAUCCCAGCAAAGCCGGUCCCAGUUUUGAUUGCAGACGGACACCCUCCUGCAUGAAGUUGGAGUUGCUAGUAACCCCGCGUCUCCCAUAGUGCGCUGAAUAACACCCGGGUUUUGUACACUCCGCCCGUCACGUCAUGGGAGUUGGCAACGCCUGACCCCGGUAGCCUAACCGAAAGGAAGGCGCCGUCUAAGGCGGGGC